This 455-nucleotide unclassified non-coding RNA is filed under the name Hevea brasiliensis (rubber tree). Lineage: Eukaryota; Viridiplantae; Streptophyta; Magnoliopsida; Malpighiales; Euphorbiaceae. The record is from RNAcentral.
UUGCAACAUCUUCGGCACUUGGAUGUUGGCAACAAUCAUUUGGUGGGUACUAUAAGAGAAUUAAUACGUUUUGAGGGUUGCUUUCCUGCACUUCGCAACCUUUACCUAAAUAAUAAUUACCUCACUGGAGGAGUCCCUGCACAACUGGCAAACUUGAGCAAUAUAGAAAUAUUGCAUCUAUCAUAUAAUAAGAUGUCUGGAAUAAUACCUGCUGGACUUGCUCAUAUUCCUAGAUUGACUCACUUAUACUUGGAUCACAAUCAAUUUUCAGGGAGAAUUCCUGAUGCCUUCUAUAAACAUCCGUACUUGAAAGAAAUGUACAUUGAAGGAAAUGCUUUCAGGCCAGGCGUAAACCCAAUAGGUGUCCAUAAAGUACUUGAAGUCUCUGAUGCAGAUUUCUUAGUUUAGCAGACAUCAGCCUGUUCUUUAAUUGUCUGGAUGCUGCGAUCUUAUUU